ACAUCACAGGCGAUACUAUGAUCAAGAAGGUGGUUCAUCAGGGCUAGGCUCAGACACUGCACACUGGUUGUGCUGAUCGCUGUCAAUUCCUUAUUUGUUGUAAUAUUUCAACUGAAUAAUUUGUGGUAGUGGUGCUCUCCUC
This 142-nucleotide small nuclear RNA is filed under the name Cyclopterus lumpus (lumpfish). RNAcentral describes it as "U1 spliceosomal RNA (ENSCLMG00005020698.1)". It matches the Rfam family "U1 spliceosomal RNA". Rfam says of the family: U1 is a small nuclear RNA (snRNA) component of the spliceosome (involved in pre-mRNA splicing). Its 5' end forms complementary base pairs with the 5' splice junction, thus defining the 5' donor site of an intron. Lineage: Eukaryota; Metazoa; Chordata; Actinopteri; Perciformes; Cyclopteridae. The record is from RNAcentral.